CUGGCGGCGUGCUUAACACAUGCAAGUCGAACGGUAAGGCCCUUCGGGGUACACGAGUGGCGAACGGGUGAGUAACACGUGGGUGAUCUGCCCUGCACUUCGGGAUAAGCCUGGGAAACUGGGUCUAACACCGGAUAGGACCAUGGACUUCACGGUUUGUGGUGGAAAGCUUUUGCGGUGUGGGAUGGGCCCGCGGCCUAUCAGCUUGUUGGUGGGGUAAUGGCCUACCAAGGCGACGACGGGUAGCCGGCCUGAGAGGGUGUCCGGCCACACUGGGACUGAGAUACGGCCCAGACUCCUACGGGAGGCAGCAGUGGGGAAUAUUGCACAAUGGGCGCAAGCCUGAUGCAGCGACGCCGCGUGAGGGAUGACGGCCUUCGGGUUGUAAACCUCUUUCAAUAGGGACGAAGCGCAAGUGACGGUACCUAUAGAAGAAGCACCGGCCAACUACGUG
Molecule: ribosomal RNA, 454 nt
Filed under: uncultured bacterium
Lineage: Bacteria
Description: bacterial SSU rRNA
Rfam family: Bacterial small subunit ribosomal RNA
Source: RNAcentral